UACUAAUGUGGACAACAAAGUGAGCUGC
RNAcentral lists this small RNA (28 nucleotides) under Bombyx mori (domestic silkworm). RNAcentral's name for it is "ovarian small RNA-21247". The record is from RNAcentral. Lineage: Eukaryota; Metazoa; Arthropoda; Insecta; Lepidoptera; Bombycidae.